UACGUAGGGUGCGAGCGUUAAUCGGAAUUACUGGGCGUAAAGCGUGCGCAGGCGGUUUGAUAAGCCAGAUGUGAAAUCCCCGGGCUUAACCUGGGAACUGCGUUUGGAACUGUCAGGCUAGAGUGUAGCAGAGGGGGGUAGAAUUCCACGUGUAGCAGUGAAAUGCGUAGAGAUGUGGAGGAAUACCGAUGGCGAAGGCAGCCCCCUGGGCUAACACUGACGCUCAUGCACGAAAGCGUGGGGAGCAAACAGG
Molecule: ribosomal RNA, 253 nt
Filed under: uncultured bacterium
Lineage: Bacteria
Description: partial 16S ribosomal RNA
Rfam family: Bacterial small subunit ribosomal RNA
Source: RNAcentral